GUCUUUUUGGUAUUUAAUAUAAAGUCUAACCUGCCCACUGAAAGUAAUUUAAAGGGCCGCAGUAUUUUGACUGUGCAAAGGUAGCAUAAUCAUUAGUCUUUUAAUUGAAGGCUGGUAUGAAUGGUUGGAUAAGAUACAAGCUGUGUCAUGAAAAUUAAUAAUUGAAUUUAACUUUUUAGUUAAAAGGCUAAAAUAAAAUUAAAAGACGAGAAGACCCUAUAGAGCUUUAUACAAUAAUUAUUUAAGUUAUUUAGUUUUUUAAAAUUUAAUUUUUAUAUUGUAUUUUGUUGGGGUGACAAUAAAAUUUAUAAAACUUUUAUUUUUAAUUUACAUUAAUUUAUGAUUAAAUGAUCCAGUUUUAUUGAUUAUAAAUUUAAGUUACCUUAGGGAUAACAGCGUAAUUUUUUUUGAGAGUUCUUAUCGACAAAAAAGAUUGCGACCUCGAUGUUGGAUUAAGAGUAAUUUUGGGUGUAGAAGUUCAAAAUUUAAGUCUGUUCGACUUUUAAAUUCUUACAU
RNAcentral lists this ribosomal RNA (516 nucleotides) under Simulium tuyense. RNAcentral's name for it is "partial 16S ribosomal RNA". The stretch from base 389 to 516 matches the Rfam family "Bacterial large subunit ribosomal RNA", at positions 2473 to 2601 of the family's 2925-position model. The record is from RNAcentral. Lineage: Eukaryota; Metazoa; Arthropoda; Insecta; Diptera; Simuliidae.